This is a non-coding RNA of Phrynosoma platyrhinos (Desert horned lizard), 72 nucleotides long. The record is from the annotation of a GenBank genome assembly. Lineage: Eukaryota; Metazoa; Chordata; Lepidosauria; Squamata; Phrynosomatidae.
GACAGCAUGGUGUAGUGGUUUGAGCAUUGGACUAGGACUAUGGGCACCAGGGUUCAAAUCCUGGUCCUGUCA